RNAcentral lists this ribosomal RNA (427 nucleotides) under uncultured bacterium. Its description in RNAcentral is "bacterial SSU rRNA". It matches the Rfam family "Bacterial small subunit ribosomal RNA", at positions 355 to 774 of the family's 1533-position model. The record is from RNAcentral.
UGGGGAAUUUUGGACAAUGGGCGCAAGCCUGAUCCAGCAAUGCCGCGUGCAGGAUGAAGGCCUUCGGGUUGUAAACUGCUUUUGUACGGAGCGAAAAGGUCUGCCCUAAUACGGUGGGCUCAUGACGGUACCGUAAGAAUAAGCACCGGCUAACUACGUGCCAGCAGCCGCGGUAAUUCGUAUGGUGCGAGCGUUAAUCGGAAUUACUGGGCGUAAAGCGUGCGCAGGCGGUUAUAUAAGACAGAUGUGAAAUCCCCGGGCUCAACCUGGGACCUGCAUUUGUGACUGUAUAGCUAGAGUACGGUAGAGGGGGAUGGAAUUCCACGUGUAGCAGUGAAAUGCGUAGAUAUGCGGAGGAACACCGAUGGCGAAGGCAAUCCCCUGGACCUGUACUGACGCUCAUGCACGAAAGCGUGGGGAGAAAACA